UACGUAGGGUGCGAGCGUUGUCCGGAAUUACUGGGCGUAAAGAGCUCGUAGGUGGUUUGUCACGUCGUCUGUGAAAUUCCGGGGCUUAACCUCGGGCGUGCAGGCGAUACGGGCAAUACUUGAGUGCUGUAGGGGAGACUGGAAUUCCUGGUGUAGCGGUGAAAUACGCAGAUAUCAGGAGGAACACCAAUGGCGAAGGCAGGUCUCUGGGCAGUUACUGACGCUGAGGAGCGAAAGCAUGGGUAGCGAACAGGAUUAGAUA
This 262-nucleotide ribosomal RNA is filed under the name uncultured prokaryote. RNAcentral describes it as "partial 16S ribosomal RNA". It matches the Rfam family "Bacterial small subunit ribosomal RNA", at positions 524 to 784 of the family's 1533-position model. The record is from RNAcentral.